RNAcentral lists this ribosomal RNA (253 nucleotides) under uncultured bacterium. Its description in RNAcentral is "partial 16S ribosomal RNA". It matches the Rfam family "Bacterial small subunit ribosomal RNA", at positions 524 to 776 of the family's 1533-position model. The record is from RNAcentral.
UACGAAGGGGGCUAGCGUUGCUCGGAAUUACUGGGCGUAAAGCGCACGUAGGCGGCUUCUUAAGUCGGUGGUGAAAUCCUGGAGCUCAACUCCAGAACUGCCUUCGAUACUGGGAAGCUCGAGUCCUGGAGAGGUGAGUGGAACUGCGAGUGUAGAGGUGAAAUUCGUAGAUAUUCGCAAGAACACCAGUGGCGAAGGCGGCUCACUGGCCCGGUACUGACGCUGAGGUGCGAAAGCGUGGGGAGCAAACAGG